GGCUUAGUAGCAUAGUGGUUAUGCAUCUGCACAUUGUGUGAUAGAACCCUUUCAUCUGCAGAGUAUGUGGGUUCGAGUCCCGCCUGGGCCA
Molecule: non-coding RNA, 91 nt
Organism: Mycena maculata
Lineage: Eukaryota; Fungi; Basidiomycota; Agaricomycetes; Agaricales; Mycenaceae
Source: the annotation of a GenBank genome assembly